Small nucleolar RNA from Labrus bergylta (ballan wrasse), 82 nucleotides. Ensembl annotates it as small nucleolar RNA SNORD60. The record is from Ensembl. Lineage: Eukaryota; Metazoa; Chordata; Actinopteri; Labriformes; Labridae.
AGCCCCUGAUGACGAACCAAAUAACUUUUCUGACACCUCGUAUGAGAGCUACGCUCCUGAUUCUAACUCAGUUCUGAGGCUC